AUGCUUGCUUCGACAGCACCUAUACUAACAUUGGAAUGAUACAGAGAAGAUCAGUGUGGCCUCUCACAAGAAUGACCUGCCAAUUCAUGAAGCAUUCCAUAACUUA
Molecule: small nuclear RNA, 106 nt
Organism: Zalophus californianus (California sea lion)
Lineage: Eukaryota; Metazoa; Chordata; Mammalia; Carnivora; Otariidae
Source: Ensembl